RNA transcript from Helianthus annuus (common sunflower), 1773 nucleotides. It is a transcript of the gene named protein disulfide-isomerase-like, with no coding region annotated. The transcript is spliced from 10 exons. NCBI's taxonomy places the organism in Eukaryota, Viridiplantae, Streptophyta, Magnoliopsida, Asterales, Asteraceae. The record is from RefSeq and is a predicted model, not a curated record.
GCAAUAACUCACGCUUGUGGCUUUUAGAGAGAGAAACAGUCACAGCUAUGGCGUCUUCUUAUACUCUCUUCUUCUUCUUCUUCUUCAUGUUCUUUUGUGAUUUUGCAAUAUCAUCACACAUCGCUUCUGCUACCGAGGAGGACGAAUAUGUGCUCACUUUAGAUCACUCUAAUUUCUCCCAAGUUGUCUCUAAACACAAAUUCAUUGUCGUUGAGUUCUAUGCUCCUUGGUGUGGUCACUGUAAGAAUCUUGCACCAGAGUAUGAAAAGGCUGCGUCUGUGUUGUCAAGCCAUGAUCCUCCAGUUGCUUUAGCAAAGGUUGAUGCCAAUGCUGAAGAAAACAAAGGACUUGCGGAACAAUUUGGGGUAAAAAGUUUCCCCACAAUCAAGAUCUUGAAAAACGGAGGAGAAGUUGUUCAAGACUACAAAGGCCCUCGUGAAGCCGAUGGUAUAGUCCAAUACUUAAACAAACAAGUUGGUCCUGCAUCCUUUGAGAUCAAAACCCCUGAAGAUGCAGCCAACCUUAUAAAUGACAAGAAGGUCGUUGUGGUAGGAAUUUUCCCCGCAUUAUCCGGGGAAGAGUUUGACAACUUCAACAUUUUAGCUGACAAGCUACGUUCGGAUUACGACUUUCGCCACACUACAAAAGCUGAACUCCUACCCCGCGGGAAAUCAUCGGUGACCACCCCAACUGUUCGGUUACUGAAGCCGUUUGAUGAACUGUUUAUCGAUUUCCAGAAAUUUGAUGUUGAUGCUUUGGAGAAGUUCGUUGAAGAUUCCAGCAUUCCUCUUGUAACACUCUUCGACCAGAGCCCAACCAACCAACCAUUCCUAGUCAAAUACUUUGAAAGUCCCAAUGCAAAGGCUAUGCUGCUUCUGGAUUUCGGUCAUGGUCAAAUUGAUGCUUAGAAGUCAAAAUACACUGAUGUUGCUGGGGUAUACAAAGGAAAGGGGUUAAGCUUUCUGUUAGGUGAUCUUAAAGAUAGUCAAGCUGCCUUGGAGUUUUUCGGUAUUAAAGAGGAUCAAACACCUGUUGUCAUUGUACAAAAAACUAAUGGUCUCAAGUUUAUCAACUUAAAUGUCGAGGUUGAUCAAAUCGCUCCUUGGUUGAAGGACUACAUGGAUGGAAAAGUAAAGCCGUUUAUAAAGUCUGAACCAAUUCCAGAAACGAACGAUGAGCCUGUGAAGGUGGUGGUUGCUAACAGCCUUGGAGACAUGGUUUUGGACUCCAAAAAAAACAUUUUACUAGAGUUCUACGCGCCGUGGUGUGGCCACUGCAAAAAACUGGCUCCAACCUUGGACGAAGUGGCCGUCUCCUUUGAAAACGACGCUAGUGUCAUGGUCGCAAAAUUCGAUGCAUCAAACAAUGACAUUCCAAGUGACACGUUUGAAGUUCAAGGUUACCCGACUUUGUACUUCAGAUCGUCGAGUGGUAAAGUGGUGCCAUAUGAAGGGAAUAGGACGAAGGAGGAUAUUAUCGACUUCAUUCAAAAGCACCGCGAGGGGGACGAGACCACAACUGAACCGGGCAAAGACGAGCUAUGAAGGGUUGGUUGUCCUGUCCUGAGUAGUUUCAUGUACCCUUUUAAGUUAAAUUUGGAUUUUGUAGUUGUAUCAGUUGUACCAACAACCACCCCCACCACCAUCAUAAGUGUAGAGGUUCUAGAAUCCACCACAACCGCGGGGGAGUUUCGUAGUGCAUGUUAUGAAUAAAUGUUUGGCUAGAAUGAAUGAAGAUAAAUAAAUUCAUAGAACUGCUAUGGCAUUGCUGAAA